CUUCUAAGAAGGCAGUAGGAUCCUGAUCUUCUGUCCACUUCUUAUUACAAACCUUGUGAAGUCCACAUGAUUUGCAUAAGUACUUCUUUUUUCUAGUGUUCCUGCCUCUUAGAGUAUUAUAAAAAGGUCUCAGAGCUGUGUCAUGAUCAUCAAACUGUGGGAAAGUUUGAAGAUGGUGUCCACACCUCAGUUCUUUGGACUUCUGCUUUUCUGGAUUUCAGCCUCCAGAUGCGACAUCUUGCUGACUCAGACUCCACCCACACUGUCUGUGUCUCAAGGAGAUAAAGUCUCUAUUUCCUGCAGGGCCAGCCAGGGUAUUAGCAACAGCCUACACUGGUAUCAACAAAAAUCACAUGAGUCUCCAAGGCUUCUAAUCAAGUAUGCUUCCCAGUCCAUUUCUGGGAUCCCCUCCAGGUUCAGUGGCAGUGGAUCAGGGACAGAUUUCACUCUCAAUAUCAACAGUGUAGAGCCUGAAGAUAUUGGAAUGUAUUACUGUCAGCACAGUUACAGCUGGCCUCCCACAGUGGUUCAGACCACAUCAAAAACCACUAGGAAAGCAGAAGUGUACGGCUGGGAAGCUUCAGCUGUUUGUGGUGGUAUAUCAACCUUCUUCAAACUGUUUCGUAGAUGCAGGCAAGUGUUUACAGAAUUAUGUGGAUUGAAGAAGAAUGGAAGUUUCCCUUGCCUCUGA
Molecule: non-coding RNA, 691 nt
Organism: Apodemus sylvaticus (European woodmouse)
Lineage: Eukaryota; Metazoa; Chordata; Mammalia; Rodentia; Muridae
Source: the annotation of a RefSeq genome assembly